GAGCCACGCCGCGUGAGUGAAGAAGGUUUUCGGUUCGUAAAGCUCUUUUGUUAGUGAAGUAUGAUGGUGGGAGUGGAAAAUCCACCAAGUGACGGUAACUAACCAGAAAGGGGCGGCUAACUACGUGCCAGCAGCCGCGGUAAUACGUAGGUCCCGAGCGUUGUUCGGAUUUAUUGGGCGUAAAGCGAGCGCUGGCGGUUUUUUAAGUCUGAAGUUUAAAGCACUGGCUCAACCAAUGUACGCUUUGGAAACUUGAGAA
This 259-nucleotide ribosomal RNA is filed under the name Streptococcus pyogenes. RNAcentral describes it as "partial 16S ribosomal RNA". It matches the Rfam family "Bacterial small subunit ribosomal RNA", at positions 389 to 640 of the family's 1533-position model. Lineage: Bacteria; Bacillati; Bacillota; Bacilli; Lactobacillales; Streptococcaceae. The record is from RNAcentral.